RNAcentral lists this non-coding RNA (30 nucleotides) under Rattus norvegicus (Norway rat). The record is from RNAcentral. Lineage: Eukaryota; Metazoa; Chordata; Mammalia; Rodentia; Muridae.
AGUGUGUAUUAGUCAACCUUCAUAGUUACU